UGUGUGUGUGUGUGUGUGUGUGUUUGUUUAUGUGUGUGCAUUAUUUUCUCAUAAACUCUUCCCUUUGUUUAUCUAUCUUGUCAUUAAUUGUUUUGCUUUUGCUGUUUCACAAUAAGAGGUUUACUACUUACAGAAUGUGCAUAACUAAAUUGUGGUUAGGGUUAGGGCUAGGGUGAGGCUACUUCCUUGUUUACUCUCUCUGCUGCAGCUUAUUUAAUAAAAAAUGAAAAGAAAAAUGAA
Molecule: long non-coding RNA, 240 nt
Organism: Gadus macrocephalus (Pacific cod)
Lineage: Eukaryota; Metazoa; Chordata; Actinopteri; Gadiformes; Gadidae
Exons: 2
Source: RefSeq, a predicted model, not a curated record